Molecule: long non-coding RNA, 2031 nt
Filed under: Mus musculus (house mouse)
Lineage: Eukaryota; Metazoa; Chordata; Mammalia; Rodentia; Muridae
Description: predicted gene, 33843
Source: RNAcentral
UUGGAGGCUUAGAAGUCCAGAGAUGGAGGAAAUGGGAAGGAAAAGAAGGCUGAUCAAAGAAUUCACAGUGCUACAAAAGGAAUUUACAUGUCUCUCUUCCUUUUCUUCUCUCUGUCUAAACAGAUGCAGUAUGAGCAGCCACCUAUAACCUCUGAAGCUAUGCUUUCUCUGCUACAGUGGACUGGAGCUUUUCAAACCACAAUUCAAGGCAAUCCCUUCCAUCCUGAGUUGUUUCUUGCCAGCUACUUUGAUGGCGGAAAUGAGAAAAUUCGGUGAUCCAAAUGGGCACAGAACUUCUCUCCAGGAUGAAGAGGUCUCCAGACGGACAGUAAUGACAACUACAUACCAGUGUGUGUAUACUUACUGCCAAGAAACAGUACCCCAAAAGGUGUUUAAGGAAUCAGUUCUGUUAUGCAUAUUUUAUCACAAUUUAAAAAGUUUCCUUCUUACCAAAAGCAAUCAGACAGCUAAAGGAUCUGUAUCUUGAACAAUUCAGGUUGGAAGAUGGCAGCUACCUAUUUCAAACUCUCCUAGGCAUCUCUGUGGAGAUGCCCUUCCAGCAAGAUUCCAGAGUUCAGACAAUGUCAGUGAGCAACCGAGGACUUAUGACAAUCACCUUGAAUGCCUUCUGGAUGCAGAUUCUCCAAGCCCAUCGAUACUGAAUUGGCAUAGCCUGUCAGCAUGUUUACUGCAGCUUCAGGAGAAACCCAGGGCCUCCUGGGUAAGGCAGUACUCCUGGACUUCUGACCAUCAGAAACCAUGAGGCAAUGCCUUUAAAACCGCAAAGUCAUAUGUUGUAAUAGAUGUGAAUAUAAGUACAAAUGACUUCACAAAUUCACACUAAUGGUAAAUAACAAAACCACAACAAUACAGAAGGACUAUAGUUGUCAAGAAUAAACUUCUUCCUGUACAACCAUUAGGGAAGUAUUAGCUGAUGGGGUAAAGAAAAAUGUCUGCGUUCUCAUCCUGUGUGUAUUCCUCUUUUGCAUGUUUAGCUCUUGUAACAUAUGGCUACCCUCUCUCAGCUUUCAUGUGGCUUCCUUUCCUACAUUGCUUUGUGUGGGGAUGGUUAUCUUUAUAGAAUGGCAGAAUGUUUGUUGUUCUCUCUGUUGUGGUGAUUCAAAUGCAUAGGGGUCCAUGCUUCAACCUUAUACAGGGAUUUCCAAGUCUUGUGGCCAAACAGAAACUAGGAAGUUCACAAAACAACAUCUGCUACCUAUCUCUUCUCUCUUCCUGAGCUUCCUAUCUACCUUUAUCACCGUGAUGGUGAGAUCCUUGCAUGCUUCUGAGGAGCUUACAACAGGAGUGAUCACAACCAGAAAACCAUAUCGGCACUCACCAAUGUCUGAUACAGUCUGUGUCAGAACCUGCCUAUAAAUAGCAUGUGGCAGGUAAGGGCUGGAGAUCUGGUCAACCCAGAAAUAGUAUUACCUGUCUGAGGAAUCAUUUAGCUGUGGUGGAAUAUCUCAAGCAACUGGUAAAACAUUGUACUACAUCAUGUCUUGAGAGAGAUGUGAGACGGGAGACAGAAAACUUUAGAACACCUGUGCAAUAAAAUGUCUAAAAUGAAGUAAGACAUGCAUGUUGUGCUCUGGAAAGACACAUCAGUUAGUGACUAGUAAACACUGAAUAUGGCUACUCCUGUGGUUUAGUUGGGGUCACAUCCUUUAUGUUUGUUUGGGUUUUUGUUUUGUUUUGUCUUUCUAGAUAGUGUUUCUCUGUAUAGCUCUGGCUGUCCUGGAACUCACUCUGUAGACCAGGCUGGUCUUGAACUUAAAGAUUCACGUGCCUCUGCCUCCUGAGUGCUGGGAUUAAAGGCAUGCACCACCACUGCCCAGCUGGGAUCAGAUUUUUAAGGUAAGACAUCAGAAGGGCUUGGUAUGUGGCAGGAUUUCCUAUGUUUGUGACUAUGCACUUCAUCAAUUGUAUCUUGGAAAUGUGUCGUACACAUAAGAAACUCAUUCUAUGCUGGCACCUCACCUUGUUAUGGAUUUUCAAUGCUGUAUAAAGGAAGAGCUUAUAGAUCAAGGU